RNAcentral lists this ribosomal RNA (551 nucleotides) under Cyloma lineatus. Its description in RNAcentral is "partial large subunit ribosomal RNA". It matches the Rfam family "Bacterial large subunit ribosomal RNA", at positions 1812 to 2630 of the family's 2925-position model. The record is from RNAcentral. Lineage: Eukaryota; Metazoa; Arthropoda; Insecta; Coleoptera; Hydrophilidae.
AACAUGGCCUUUUGAAUUUUGAUUUAAGGUCCGGCCUGCCCAAUGAAUAAUUUUAAUGGCUGCAGUAUUUUGACUGUACAAAGGUAGCAUAAUCAUUAGUUUUUUAAUUAAAAGCUCGUAUGAAUGGCUUAAUGAGAAAGAUUCUGUCUUUAUUUAAAUUUUUAUAGAAAUUUAUUUUUAAGUUAAAAAGCUUAAAUUUGUUUAAAAGACGAGAAGACCCUAUAGAGUUUUAUAAGCUAAUUAAUAAUUAAUGUUUAAGUAUAGAAUUUUAUUUGAUUAAUAAGUUUAUUUGGUUGGGGUGAUCUAAAAAUUUAAUAAACUUUUUAUUUUUUAAACAUAAAUUUAUGAUUAACUGAUCCAUUGAGAUGUGAUUAAAAGAUUAAAUUACCUUAGGGAUAACAGCGUAAUUUUUUUGGAGAGUUCUUAUCAAUAAAAAAGGUUGCGACCUCGAUGUUGGAUUAAAAUUUACUAUUGGCGCAGAAGUUGAUGGGUUAGGUCUGUUCGACCUUUAAAAUUUUACAUGAUCUGAGUUUAAACCGGUGUGAGCCAGG